AUUGAACGCUGGCGGCGUGCCUAACACAUGCAAGUCGAGCGGUAACAGGUGUAGCAAUACAUGCUGACGAGCGGCGAACGGGUGAGUAAUGCUUCGGAAUCUACCCAAUGGUGGGGAAUAACCAGCCGAAAGGUUGGCUAAUACCGCAUACGUCCCACGGGAGAAAGCAGGGGAUCGCAAGACCUUGCGCCAAUGGAUGAGCCGAAGUCGGAUUAGCUAGUUGGAGGGUAACGGCCUACCAAGGCGACGAUCCGUAGCCGUCGU
This 264-nucleotide ribosomal RNA is filed under the name uncultured bacterium. RNAcentral's name for it is "partial 16S ribosomal RNA". It matches the Rfam family "Bacterial small subunit ribosomal RNA", at positions 30 to 293 of the family's 1533-position model. The record is from RNAcentral.